GAUGAAGAACGUAGCGAAACGCGAAAGGUAAUGCGAAUUGCAGAAUUCAGUGAAUCAUCGAAUCUUUGAACGCACAUUGCGCCCCCUGGUAUUCCGGGGGGCAUGCCUGUCCGAGCGUCAUUACAACCCUCAAGCUCAGCUUGGUAUUGGGCCCCGCCGCUCCGGCGGGCCCUAAAGUCAGUGGCGGUGCCGUCCGGCUCCGAGCGUAGUAAUUCUUCUCGCUCUGGAGGCCCGGUCGUGUGCUCGCCAGCAACCCCCAAUUUUUUUCAGGUUGACCUCGGAUCAGGUAGGGAUACCCGCUGAACUUAAGCAUAUCAAUAAGCGGAGGA
RNAcentral lists this unclassified non-coding RNA (329 nucleotides) under soil metagenome. RNAcentral describes it as "partial contains 5.8S ribosomal RNA, internal transcribed spacer 2, and large subunit ribosomal RNA". The stretch from base 1 to 120 matches the Rfam family "5.8S ribosomal RNA", at positions 35 to 154 of the family's 154-position model. The record is from RNAcentral.